AGAGCAAAUCUUCAUAAAAGAAGGUGGGGCUGCAAACACCGGGAUGUAUUGCUCCA
This 56-nucleotide transfer RNA is filed under the name Boodlea composita. Its description in RNAcentral is "tRNA-Cys". Lineage: Eukaryota; Viridiplantae; Chlorophyta; Ulvophyceae; Cladophorales; Boodleaceae. The record is from RNAcentral.